Molecule: transfer RNA, 74 nt
Filed under: bacterium
Lineage: Bacteria
Description: tRNA-Cys
Rfam family: tRNA
About the family: Transfer RNA (tRNA) molecules are approximately 80 nucleotides in length.
Source: RNAcentral
GUUGCCGUAGCCAAGAGGCGAGGCGCCGGACUGCAAAUCCGGUAACGCUGGUUCGAAUCCAGCCGGCAACUCCA